This 23-nucleotide transfer RNA is filed under the name Pseudocheirus peregrinus (common ring-tailed possum). RNAcentral describes it as "partial tRNA-Ser". The record is from RNAcentral. Lineage: Eukaryota; Metazoa; Chordata; Mammalia; Diprotodontia; Pseudocheiridae.
CAAGAAAGUCACAAGAACUGCUA